This is a small nuclear RNA of Nannospalax galili (Upper Galilee mountains blind mole rat), 159 nucleotides long. Its record names the gene U1. It matches the Rfam family "U1 spliceosomal RNA". From Rfam's summary of the family: U1 is a small nuclear RNA (snRNA) component of the spliceosome (involved in pre-mRNA splicing). Its 5' end forms complementary base pairs with the 5' splice junction, thus defining the 5' donor site of an intron. NCBI's taxonomy places the organism in Eukaryota, Metazoa, Chordata, Mammalia, Rodentia, Spalacidae. The record is from Ensembl.
UUAAAUACCUGGUUGAGGAGAUACCGUGAUCAGGAAGAUGCUUUUCCCAAGUCAAGGCUUAUUCAUUGCACUCUGAAUUUGCUGAUCUCUGCAAUUUCCCCAAAUGUGAAGAACUUGACUGCAUAAAUUGUGUCAAUGGGAAACUGCAAUUAGUUCUCC